Molecule: long non-coding RNA, 435 nt
Filed under: Carica papaya (papaya)
Lineage: Eukaryota; Viridiplantae; Streptophyta; Magnoliopsida; Brassicales; Caricaceae
Description: long non-coding RNA (CPAP_LNC010030)
Source: RNAcentral
UACCAGUUUUGUCUUUCUCCUUAUCCCCCUUGAAUAUUGACCACCUCUUUAAACCACAAAACUCAUGGCACUACUUCUGUCCUCUUUUUUCCGUGCAAUGGUUCUUACUCGUUUUUGUUGAACAACUAUGACAUAGGCUUGAUUCAGAUUUGGCAAGGGUUUCGUACUUAAGAUAUUAAAAUGUACUGUUCUAUAUCCACCUUCAUCCAAUCCCAUCAAAAAUUGAUGAACUCUUUCCUCCUCAUGUUUUCUUUCCAAUUCAAAGGAGAGGUUGCAUUUGCACUCAACACAAGUGCACAUCGAUAUUUGAUUAUAGUUAUUCAAUUCAUCUUAAAAAGUUUUGAGCCUUCUAAAAUAAAUCACCAUCGCUUGUCCAUCUUUUUUGCAAUUCGUCAGAUCUAUCUUCAGUUGUUGCGCUCAAGGACCAUUACCGAU